RNAcentral lists this ribosomal RNA (479 nucleotides) under uncultured bacterium. RNAcentral describes it as "partial 16S ribosomal RNA". It matches the Rfam family "Bacterial small subunit ribosomal RNA", at positions 28 to 523 of the family's 1533-position model. The record is from RNAcentral.
GACGAACGCUGGCGGCGUGCUUAACACAUGCAAGUCGAGCGAUGAAGCACCUUCGGGUGUGAUUAGCGGCGAACGGGUGAGGAACACGUGAGGAAUCUGCCUUCCACUCUGGGAUAACUCCGGGAAACCGGGGCUAAUACCGGAUAUUUUCAACUGGCGGCAUCGCCGGUUGAAGAAAGUUUUUCGGUGGAAGAUGACCUCGCGGCCUGUCAGCUUGUUGGUGAGGUAAAGGCUCACCAAGGCGACGACGGGUAGGCGGGCUGAGAGGGUGACCGGCAACACUGGGACUGAGACACGGCCCAGACUCCUACGGGAGGCAGCAGUGGGGAAUAUUGGGAAAUGGAGGAAACUCUGACCCAGCGACGCCGCGUGAGGGAUGAAGGCCUUCGGGUUGUAAACCUCUUUCAGCAGGGAAUAAGCGAAGGUGAAGGUACCUGCAGAAGAAGCACCGGCUAACUAUGUGCCAGCCGCCGCCGUAA